GUCUGCAGCUGCACCAGUCUGAACAUACCCAAUCUUGUCUAAUCUUGGAAGUUAAGCAUGAUUGUAUCUGGUUAGUACUUGGAUAGGAGAUUACCUGGAACUACUGUAUUCUGAAACCU
Ribosomal RNA from Capra hircus (goat), 119 nucleotides. Lineage: Eukaryota; Metazoa; Chordata; Mammalia; Artiodactyla; Bovidae. The record is from Ensembl.